Molecule: transfer RNA, 70 nt
Filed under: Dipodomys ordii (Ord's kangaroo rat)
Lineage: Eukaryota; Metazoa; Chordata; Mammalia; Rodentia; Heteromyidae
Rfam family: tRNA
About the family: Transfer RNA (tRNA) molecules are approximately 80 nucleotides in length.
Source: Rfam by way of RNAcentral
GUAUGUGACUCAGUGGUAGAGUGCUUGCCUAGCAUGCAUGAAGCCCUGGGUUCAAUUCCUCAGUACUACA